RNAcentral lists this ribosomal RNA (433 nucleotides) under uncultured bacterium. RNAcentral's name for it is "partial 16S ribosomal RNA". It matches the Rfam family "Bacterial small subunit ribosomal RNA", at positions 29 to 507 of the family's 1533-position model. The record is from RNAcentral.
AACGAACGCUGGCGGCAUGCCUAACACAUGCAAGUCGAACGAGACCUUCGGGUCUAGUGGCGCACGGGUGCGUAACGCGUGGGAACCUUCCCUUAGGUUCGGAAUAACCCCCCGAAAGGGGUGCUAAUACCGGAUAAUGUCUUCGGACCAAAGAUUUAUCGCCUUUGGAUGGGCCCGCGUUGGAUUAGCUAGUUGGUAGGGUAAAAGCCUACCAAGGCGACGAUCCAUAGCUGGUCUGAGAGGAUGAUCAGCCACACUGGGACUGAGACACGGCCCAGACUCCUACGGGAGGCAGCAGUGGGGAAUAUUGGACAAUGGGCGAAAGCCUGAUCCAGCAAUGCCGCGUGAGUGAUGAAGGCCUUAGGGUUGUAAAGCUCUUUUACCCGGGAUGAUAAUGACAGUACCGGGAGAAUAAGCCCCGGCUAACUCCGUG